GAUGAACGCUAGCGGCAGGCUUAACACAUGCAAGUCGAGGGGCAGCGCGGGAUAGCAAUAUCCUGGCGGCGACCGGCGGAAGGGUGCGUAACGCGUGAGCGACAUGCUCGUUGCCCGGGGACAACCGGUGGAAACGCCGACUAAUCCCCGAUGGGAUACGAUGCUUCAUGGCAUUGUAUUGAAAGUUACGGCGGCGACGGAUUGGCUCGCGUCCGAUUAGCUGGUUGGCGGGGUGACGGCCCACCAAGGCUGCGAUCGGUAGGGGUUCUGAGAGGAAGGCCCCCCACAAUGGGACUGAGACACGGCCCAUACUCCUACGGGAGGCAGCAGUGAGGAAUAUUGGUCAAUGGGCGGAAGCCUGAACCAGCCAUGCCGCGUGCGGGAAGGAGGCCCUAUGGGCUGUGAACCGCUUUUGCCUGGGGGCAAUAAGAGCGUCGCGCACGUCCGAUGAGAGUACCAGGCGAAUAAGCAUCGGCUAACUCCGUG
Molecule: ribosomal RNA, 486 nt
Filed under: uncultured bacterium
Lineage: Bacteria
Description: partial 16S ribosomal RNA
Rfam family: Bacterial small subunit ribosomal RNA
Source: RNAcentral